GACGAACGCCGGCGGCGUGCUUAACACAUGCAAGUCGAACGGAAAGGCCCUGCUUGCAGGGUACUCGAGAGGCGAACGGGUGAGUAACACGUGGGUGAUCUGCCCUGCACUUCGGGAUAAGCCUGGGAAACUGGGUCUAAUACCGGAUAGGAGCCAUUAUUAGUGUGAUGGUUGGAAAGUUUUUUCGGUGUAGGAUGAGCUCGCGGCCUAUCAGCUUGUUGGUGGGGUAAUGGCCUACCAAGGCGGCGACGGGUAGCCGGCCUGAGAGGGUGGACGGCCACAUUGGGACUGAGAUACGGCCCAGACUCCUACGGGGGGCAGCAGUGGGGAAUAUUGCACAAUGGGCGCAAGCCUGAUGCAGCGACGCCGCGUGGGGGAUGACGGCCUUCGGGUUGUAAACUCCUUUCGCUAGGGACGAAGCUUUUUGUGACGGUACCUAGAUAAGAAGCACCGGCUAACUACGUG
This 465-nucleotide ribosomal RNA is filed under the name uncultured bacterium. RNAcentral describes it as "partial 16S ribosomal RNA". It matches the Rfam family "Bacterial small subunit ribosomal RNA", at positions 28 to 507 of the family's 1533-position model. The record is from RNAcentral.